Vulpes vulpes (red fox) is the source of this 106-nucleotide small nuclear RNA. NCBI's taxonomy places the organism in Eukaryota, Metazoa, Chordata, Mammalia, Carnivora, Canidae. The record is from Ensembl.
CAGCACCACAUAUACAGAUAUUCUGUAUCUGGAAUGAUACAGAGAUUAAUUAGCAUGUCCCCUGCACAAGGAUGCCAUGCAAAUUUUCGAAGUGUCCCAUAUUAAA